This 116-nucleotide ribosomal RNA is filed under the name uncultured bacterium. RNAcentral's name for it is "partial 16S ribosomal RNA". It matches the Rfam family "Bacterial small subunit ribosomal RNA", at positions 1357 to 1482 of the family's 1533-position model. The record is from RNAcentral.
CUACGGUGAAUACGUUCCCGGACCUUGUACACACCGCCCGUCAAGCCAUGGAAGCUGGGUGUACCUAAAGUCGGUAACCGUAAGGAGCCGCCUAGGGUAAAACUAGUAACUGGGCU